AUGUCAAGUCGAGCGAUGACGAGGAGCUUGCUCCUCUGAUUUAGCGGCGGACGGGUGAGUAACACGUGGGCAACCUGCCCUGUAGACUGGGAUAACUUCGGGAAACCGGAGCUAAUACCGGAUAAUCCAUUUCACCUCAUGGUGAAAUGUUGAAAGGCGCUUUCGGGCGUCACUACAGGAUGGGCCCGCGGUGCAUUAGCUAGUUGGUGGGGUAACGGCCUACCAAGGCGACGAUGCAUAGCCGACCUGAGAGGGUGAUCGGCCACAUUGGGACUGAGACACGGCCCAAACUCCUACGGGAGGCAGCAGUAGGGAAUCUUCCACAAUGGACGAAAGUCUGAUGGAGCAACGCCGCGUGAGUGAUGAAGGUUUUCGGAUCGUAAAACUCUGUUGUAAGGGAAGAACAAGUACGUUAGGAAAUGAACGUACCUUGACGGUACCUUAUUAGAAAGCCACGGCUAACUACGUGCCAGCAGCCGCGGUAAUACGUAGGUGGCAAGCGUUGUCCGGAUUUAUUGGGCGUAAAGCGCGCGCAGGCGGUUUCUUAAGUCUGAUGUGAAAGCCCACGGCUUAACCGUGGAGGGUCAUUGGAAACUGGGAGACUUGAGUGCAGAAGAGGAAAGUGGAAUUCCAAGUGUAGCGGUGAAAUGCGUAGAGAUUUGGAGGAACACCAGUGGCGAAGGCGACUUUCUGGUCUGCAACUGACGCUGAGGCGCGAAAGCAUGGGGAGCAAACAGGAUUAGAUACCCUGGUAGUCCAUGCCGUAAACGAUGAGUGCUAAGUGUUAGGGGGUUUCCGCCCCUUAGUGCUGCAGCUAACGCAUUAAGCACUCCGCCUGGGGAGUACGACCGCAAGGUUGAAACUCAAAGGAAUUGACGGGGGCCCGCACAAGCGGUGGAGCAUGUGUUUAUUCGAAGCAACGCGAGAACCUUACCAGGUCUUGACAUCCCAGUGACCACUCUAGAGAUAGAGUUUCCCUUCGGGACUUGGUGACAGUGGUGCAUGGUUGUCGUCAGCUCGUGUCGUGAGAUGUUGGGUAA
Molecule: ribosomal RNA, 1040 nt
Filed under: Rummeliibacillus pycnus
Lineage: Bacteria; Bacillati; Bacillota; Bacilli; Caryophanales; Caryophanaceae
Description: bacterial SSU rRNA
Rfam family: Bacterial small subunit ribosomal RNA
Source: RNAcentral